This 197-nucleotide non-coding RNA is filed under the name Intestinibacter bartlettii. Lineage: Bacteria; Bacillati; Bacillota; Clostridia; Peptostreptococcales; Peptostreptococcaceae. RNAcentral also lists the same sequence under 1 other name. The record is from RNAcentral.
AAUAUUAUUAUGAUAUUAAGUGGUCAAAUUUCGCCAGAAGUUUGAAUAAAAGGAAAUUAGGUUAGAAUCCUAAGCGAUCCGGUCACUGUAUUCUAGGGAGCAAUACUUAAUAAUCCAUUGCAUGCCAUUUGUAUGUGAGAAGGAAAGUAACGCGUUGAUCUGUAAGCCAGGAAGCCUGCUUAAUAUUAGUUAAUUAG